CGCGUAGGCGGUUUGAUAAGUCAGAUGUGAAAGCCCACGGCUUAACCGUGGAAGUGCAUUUGAUACUGUUAGACUUGAGUACCAGAGGGGAAAGUGGAAUUCCCGGUGUAGAGGUGAAAUUCGUAGAUAUCGGGAGGAAUACCGGUGGCGAAGGCGACUUUCUGGCUGGAUACUGACGCUGAGGCGCGAAAGCGUGGGGAGCAAACAG
RNAcentral lists this ribosomal RNA (208 nucleotides) under uncultured delta proteobacterium. Its description in RNAcentral is "partial 16S ribosomal RNA". It matches the Rfam family "Bacterial small subunit ribosomal RNA", at positions 568 to 775 of the family's 1533-position model. The record is from RNAcentral. Lineage: Bacteria; Deltaproteobacteria.